RNAcentral lists this transfer RNA (71 nucleotides) under Pseudomonadota bacterium. Its description in RNAcentral is "tRNA-Gln". It matches the Rfam family "tRNA". From Rfam's summary of the family: Transfer RNA (tRNA) molecules are approximately 80 nucleotides in length. Their secondary structure includes four short double-helical elements and three loops (D, anti-codon, and T loops). Further hydrogen bonds mediate the characteristic L-shaped molecular structure. tRNAs have two regions of fundamental functional importance: the anti-codon, which is responsible for specific mRNA codon recognition, and the 3' end, to which the tRNAs corresponding amino acid is attached (by aminoacyl-tRNA synthetases). tRNAs cope with the degeneracy of the genetic code in two manners: having more than one tRNA (with a specific anti-codon) for a particular amino acid; and 'wobble' base-pairing, i.e. permitting non-standard base-pairing at the 3rd anti-codon position. The record is from RNAcentral. Lineage: Bacteria; Pseudomonadati; Pseudomonadota. RNAcentral also lists the same sequence under 1 other name.
UGGGGAGUAGUGUAACGGUAGCACUGCAGACUCUGACUCUGCCCGUCAAGGUUCGAAUCCUUGCUCCCCAA